Molecule: long non-coding RNA, 211 nt
Filed under: Manihot esculenta (cassava)
Lineage: Eukaryota; Viridiplantae; Streptophyta; Magnoliopsida; Malpighiales; Euphorbiaceae
Description: long non-coding RNA (MESC_LNC008294)
Source: RNAcentral
GGAGACCCUCCGACGUUCAAGUCAGGUUUCCUGAAUAAGAGUCGUGUCCUUAGACAAGAGUUGCAGAGAAAAUAAAAAUGGAGUCCAGGCAGGAGAAGAAAAAGAAGAAGAUACCCCCUUGCAAGAGAAGACCCCCCGGUAUAUAGUGCUUCCUGUCCUUGUCACUCAAGCCCGUACGUACGGGCGUGUCAGGCACCUGCUCCAUGCGUAA